RNAcentral lists this transfer RNA (65 nucleotides) under Trichinella britovi. RNAcentral's name for it is "tRNA-Lys". It matches the Rfam family "tRNA". Rfam says of the family: Transfer RNA (tRNA) molecules are approximately 80 nucleotides in length. Their secondary structure includes four short double-helical elements and three loops (D, anti-codon, and T loops). Further hydrogen bonds mediate the characteristic L-shaped molecular structure. tRNAs have two regions of fundamental functional importance: the anti-codon, which is responsible for specific mRNA codon recognition, and the 3' end, to which the tRNAs corresponding amino acid is attached (by aminoacyl-tRNA synthetases). tRNAs cope with the degeneracy of the genetic code in two manners: having more than one tRNA (with a specific anti-codon) for a particular amino acid; and 'wobble' base-pairing, i.e. permitting non-standard base-pairing at the 3rd anti-codon position. The record is from RNAcentral. Lineage: Eukaryota; Metazoa; Nematoda; Enoplea; Trichinellida; Trichinellidae.
AGUCAAAUAGCUUAAUCCCAAAGCACAAAUCUUUUAAAUUUGAAGAUGUAUCCACUUUGACUACC